Protopterus annectens (West African lungfish) is the source of this 170-nucleotide small nuclear RNA. RefSeq annotates it as U1 spliceosomal RNA. The transcript has a single exon. Lineage: Eukaryota; Metazoa; Chordata; Ceratodontiformes; Protopteridae. The record is from RefSeq and is a predicted model, not a curated record.
GUUUUUAUCUGACAGGGGGAAUACAAUGAUUAAGAAGGUAGUUUCCAGGCAGGGUGAGGCUUUUCCAUAGCACUUUCCAAGUUGCGUUGACCCCCGUGAUCUCUCCAAGUGUGGGAAACUCAACUGCAUAAUUUAUGGUAGUGGGUGAUGGUGUUUGUUCAGUUCACUAA